This 465-nucleotide ribosomal RNA is filed under the name uncultured bacterium. RNAcentral's name for it is "bacterial SSU rRNA". It matches the Rfam family "Bacterial small subunit ribosomal RNA", at positions 36 to 518 of the family's 1533-position model. The record is from RNAcentral.
CUGGCGGCGUGCCUAACACGUGCAAGUCGAGCGAGGAGAUCCUUCGGGAUGAUCCUAGCGGCGGACGGGUGAGUAACACGUGGGCAACCUGCCUCAUAGAGAGGAAUAGCCUUCCGAAAGGGAGAUUAAUACCUCAUAACAUUGCAGUUUCGCAUGGAACAGCAAUUAAAGGAGCAAUCCGCUAUGAGAUGGGCCCGCGGCGCAUUAGCUAGUUGGUGAGGUAACGGCUCACCAAGGCGACGAUGCGUAGCCGACCUGAGAGGGUGAUCGGCCACAUUGGGACUGAGACACGGCCCAGACUCCUACGGGAGGCAGCAGUGGGGAAUAUUGCACAAUGGGGGAAACCCUGAUGCAGCCAACGCCGCGUGAGUGAUGACGGCCUUCGGGUUGUAAAGCUCUGUCUUCAGGGACGAUAAUGACGGUACCUGAGGAGGAAGCCACGGCUAACUACGUGCCAGCAGCUGC